CCUACGUGAGGCUGCAGUGAGGAAUAUUGGUCAAUGGACGCAAGUCUGAACCAGCCAUGCCGCGUGCAGGAAGACGGCUCUAUGAGUUGUAAACUGCUUUUGUACGAGGGUAAACGCAGAUACGCGUAUCUGUCUGAAAGUAUCGUACGAAUAAGGAUCGGCUAACUCCGUGCCAGCAGCCGCGGUAAUACGGAAGGCCCGAGCGUUAUCCGGAUUCAUUGGGCUUAAAGGGAGCGUAGGCGGGCGUUCAAGUCAGCUGUAAAAUCGCGCGGCUCAACCGCGCCCCGCAGUUGAAACUGGACGCCUUGAGUUCACAACAGGCAGGCGGAAUUCGUGGUGUAGCGGUGAAAUGCAUAGAUAUCACGAGGAACCCCGAUUGCGAAGGCAGCCUGCCGGGGUGCGACUGACGCUGAGGCUCGAAGGUGCGGGUAUCAAACAGGAUUAGAUACCCUUGUAGUC
RNAcentral lists this ribosomal RNA (459 nucleotides) under uncultured bacterium. Its description in RNAcentral is "partial 16S ribosomal RNA". It matches the Rfam family "Bacterial small subunit ribosomal RNA", at positions 338 to 795 of the family's 1533-position model. The record is from RNAcentral.